CCAGACUCCUACGGGAGGCAGCAGUGGGGAAUAUUGCACAAUGGGGGGAACCCUGAUGCAGCGACGCCGCGUGGGCGAGGAAGUAUUUCGGUAUGUAAAGCCCUAUCGGCAGGGAAGAAGAAAUGACGGUACCUGAAUAAGAAGCACCGGCUAAAUACGUGCCAGCAGCCGCGGUAAUACGUAUGGUGCAAGCGUUAUCCGGAUUUACUGGGUGUAAAGGGAGCGUAGACGGCGACGCAAGUCUGGAGUGAAAGCCCGGGGCCCAACCCCGGGACUGCUCUGGAAACUGCGGCGCUGGAGUACGGGAGGGGCAGGCGGAAUUCCUGGUGUAGCGGUGAAAUGCGUAGAUAUCAGGAGGAACACCGGCGGCGAAGGCGGCCUGCUGGACCGUGACUGACGUUGAGGCUCGAGAGCGUGGGGAGCAAACAGGAUUAGAUACCCCUGUA
This 446-nucleotide ribosomal RNA is filed under the name uncultured bacterium. Its description in RNAcentral is "partial 16S ribosomal RNA". It matches the Rfam family "Bacterial small subunit ribosomal RNA", at positions 331 to 792 of the family's 1533-position model. The record is from RNAcentral.